RNAcentral lists this ribosomal RNA (463 nucleotides) under uncultured bacterium. Its description in RNAcentral is "bacterial SSU rRNA". It matches the Rfam family "Bacterial small subunit ribosomal RNA", at positions 338 to 795 of the family's 1533-position model. The record is from RNAcentral.
CCUACGGGUCGCAGCAGUGGGGAAUAUUGCACAAUGGGCGCAAGCCUGAUGCAGCCAUGCCGCGUGUGUGAAGAAGGCCUUCGGGUUGUAAAGCACUUUCAGCGAGGAGGAAGGUGGUGAACUUAAUACGUUCAUCAAUUGACGUACUCGCAGAAGAAGCACCGGCUAACUCCGUGCCAGCAGCCGCGGUAAUACGGAGGGUGCAAGCGUUAAUCGGAAUUACUGGGCGUAAAGCGCACGCAGGCGGUUUGUUAAGUCAGAUGUGAAAUCCCCGGGCUCAACCUGGGAACUGCAUUUGAAACUGGCAAGCUAGAGUCUCGUAGAGGGGGGUAGAAUUCCAGGUGUAGCGGUGAAAUGCGUAGAGAUCUGGAGGAAUACCGGUGGCGAAGGCGGCCCCCUGGACGAAGACUGACGCUCAGGUGCGAAAGCGUGGGGAGCAAACAGGAUUAGAUACCCGGUAGUC